Molecule: ribosomal RNA, 744 nt
Filed under: uncultured bacterium
Lineage: Bacteria
Description: bacterial SSU rRNA
Rfam family: Bacterial small subunit ribosomal RNA
Source: RNAcentral
CGUUGUUCGUGAAAUCUCACGGCUUAACUGUGAGCGUGCGGGCGAUACGGGCAGACCUGAGUACUGCAGGGGAGACUGGAAUUCCUGGUGUAGCGGUGGAAUGCGCAGAUAUCAGGAGGAACACCGGUGGCGAAGGCGGGUCUCUGGGCAGUAACUGACGCUGAGGAGCGAAAGCGUGGGGAGCGAACAGGAUUAGAUACCCUGGUAGUCCACGCCGUAAACGGUGGGUACUAGGUGUGGGUUUCCUUCCUUGGGAUCCGUGCCGUAGCUAACGCAUUAAGUACCCCGCCUGGGGAGUACGGCCGCAAGGCUAAAACUCAAAGAAAUUGACGGGGGCCCGCACAAGCGGCGGAGCAUGUGGAUUAAUUCGAUGCAACGCGAAGAACCUUACCUGGGUUUGACAUGCACAGGACGCCGGCAGAGAUGUCGGUUCCCUUGUGGCCUGUGUGCAGGUGGUGCAUGGCUGUCGUCAGCUCGUGUCGUGGGAUGUUGGGUUAAGUCCCGCAACGAGCGCAACCCUUGUCUCAUGUUGCCAGCGGGUAAUGCCGGGGACUCGUGAGAGACUGCCGGGGUCAACUCGGAGGAAGGUGGGGAUGACGUCAAGUCAUCAUGCCCCUUAUGUCCAGGGCUUCACACGUGCUACAAUGGCCGGUACAAAGGGCUGCGAUGCCGCGAGGUUAAGCGAAUCCUUUUAAAGCCGGUCUCAGUUCGGAUCGGGGUCUGCAACUCGACCCCGUGAAGUCG